Molecule: ribosomal RNA, 602 nt
Filed under: uncultured bacterium
Lineage: Bacteria
Description: bacterial SSU rRNA
Rfam family: Bacterial small subunit ribosomal RNA
Source: RNAcentral
GAGUUUGAUCAUGGCUCACAUUGAACGCUGGCGGCAGGCCUAACACAUGCAAGUCGAGCGCGAAAGCACUUCGGUGUGAGUAAAGCGGCGGACGGGUGAGUAACGCGUAGGUAUCUACCUAGUAGUGGGGGACAACUCGGGGAAACUCGAGCUAAUACCGCAUACGCCCUACGGGGGAAAGCGGGGGACCUUCGGGCCUCGUGCUAUUAGAUGAGCCUGCGUUGGAUUAGCUAGUUGGUGGGGUAAAGGCCUACCAAGGCGACGAUCCAUAGCUGGUCUGAGAGGAUGAUCAGCCACACCGGGACUGAGACACGGCCCGGACUCCUACGGGAGGCAGCAGUGGGGAAUAUUGCGCAAUGGGCGAAAGCCUGACGCAGCCAUGCCGCGUGUGUGAAGAAGGCCUUCGGGUUGUAAAGCACUUUCAAUUGGGAGGAAAGGUUCACGGUUAAUAACCGUGAGCUGUGACGUUACCUUUAGAAGAAGCACCGGCUAACUCCGUGCCAGCAGCCGCGGUAAUACGGAGGGUGCAAGCGUUAAUCGGAAUUACUGGGCGUAAAGCGCGCGUACGCGGUUUGUUAAGUGAGAUAUGAAAGCCCAGGGCU